This 406-nucleotide ribosomal RNA is filed under the name uncultured bacterium. Its description in RNAcentral is "partial 16S ribosomal RNA". It matches the Rfam family "Bacterial small subunit ribosomal RNA", at positions 30 to 526 of the family's 1533-position model. The record is from RNAcentral.
AUUGAACGCUGGCGGCAGGCCUAACACAUGCAAGUCGAGCGAGCGGCGGACGGGUGAGUAAUGUCUGGGAAACUGCCUGAUGGCGGGGGAUAACUACUGGAAACGGUAGCUAAUACCGCAUACCAUCAGAUGUGCCCAGAUGGGAGUAGCUAGUAGGGGGGGUAACGGCGAACCUAGGCGACGAUCCCUAGCUGGUCUGAGAGGGUGACCAGCCACACUGGAACUGAGACACGUCCCAGACUCCUACGGGAGGCAGCAGUUGGGAAUAUUGGACAAUGGGCGAAAGCCUGAUGCAGCAAUGCCGCGUGUGUGAAGAAGGUUUUCGGGUUGUAAAGCUCUUUCAUCGGGGAGGCGUUACCCGAAGAAGAAGCACCGGCUAACUCCGUGCCAGCAGCCGCGGUAAUUC